Angiostrongylus costaricensis is the source of this 72-nucleotide non-coding RNA. The record is from Rfam. Lineage: Eukaryota; Metazoa; Nematoda; Chromadorea; Rhabditida; Metastrongylidae.
AGCCGGAUGGUCUAGGGGUAUGAUUCUCGCUUUGGGGGCGAGUGGUACCGGGUUCAAAUCCCGGUUCGGCCC